Nomascus leucogenys (northern white-cheeked gibbon) is the source of this 2317-nucleotide long non-coding RNA. RefSeq lists it as uncharacterized. The transcript has 6 exons. NCBI's taxonomy places the organism in Eukaryota, Metazoa, Chordata, Mammalia, Primates, Hylobatidae. The record is from RefSeq and is a predicted model, not a curated record.
AAGUAGUUGAAGCUGUAAGAAAAUUAAUUCUCAUGUGUGGGCUAAAGUUUGAUCUUUCUGGUAUGUUCAAAAUGCAUUAACCUCAUGAAAGUUCACACUCAUUUUUUACAGCCUCUAAAGGUUGGAGGAGGACCAAGGUAGCUCUUUACUCACAAAAUAAUUCAGUUACACCAUUCUGAGUCAUCCUCACUGAUAUACUCAUGCUCAUUCUUGAAAUAUUUUAAAUGCCUCAUUCUAUUAAGCCUCCAUGGAUUGACUGACUUAAUCCUUAGUUUUGCUUGAUUCUGAAAUGGUAAAACAGGAAUAGUUAUACUUACUGCAAGCAAACUUAUAAAUUCAGCAAUAUGACCUAUAAGGUCAUUUCUACAACACAGCCAACAAUGGGGUGAAAAAUGUAGACUUUAAUUUCCAUGCUUGGUCCACCCUAUGUGAUGCCAAACAAGUGAGUAAUUGGAAACAUUUGUGCAUAACUCAAUUUUUCAUGCAUUACCCCAGUGUUUCAGAUUUUUGUAAACAGAGCCUAAAUCUAUGACCUAUUAACAAACUCUCACUUCUUGCCAUCCCUUUUUCUCUCUAGAACAUUUCACUAGUGGGGAGCAAUAAAACAUAUUAGAACUAAAAAACUUACAAUGGACAUUUAAUAGUGGUUUUCCUUUCUAUUCUAUUUUUUAAAAUAUAAACCGAUUAAAUGAUAAAAUGUAGACUGAAUUUAUCAUAAAGACAUUUUCUUAUGGUAUAUUGCAAGGAACUAUGAACUUUUAAUAACUACUAUAAGCAACUGACAGGAAAAAACGGCCACAGAAGAAGGAAAGAGGAGAGAAUGAGGAGCAGACACUAAGGUGUAGUGAAAGGAGGAAAAUGAAGGCUAAGUCUAAUGAUGUGAAUCCUAUUUGCAAUUCCAUCAAAGGAGGGAUCUUCCUACUGACCAGAAGACCUGUACAGCCUGAGAAUGAUUCCUUUCAACUCUGAGAGAAGAAGCUGCAGAUGAAGAGCAAUCCUGGGAUACAUGUGCAGAAAGUGCAGGUUUGCUACAUAGGUAUACACGUACCAUGGUGGUUUGCUGCACCCAUCAACUCGUCAUCUACAUUAGGAUACUGUAUACUGAAAACCCACCAAUUUGAUCUUUUAUGAGAAGCUAGUCCCUGAAAAGGCCCUUGGAUCAAAAGUUGAAAACUUGAAGCACAGAGUAGGAUGUCAGAUGCCAAGAUUCAAAUCUAGUCAUUUGAUUCCAGAGCCCACAUUUUUAAAUAAUAUGCUACACUGACCUUUAUUAUCUUUAAACAUUAUCUUUAUUUAAUGUGUUUCAUAGAAAUUACUUCUCAAGUAUUCCUAAUUUUAUUUUUAAAAAUAAUAAGGUCAUGCUAUCACUAUAAUAUAGUUUUUUAAAUUAACUUGAGAGGUAAUGUAGUAUGAUCAAUUUCCUUAAUGGCCUUUUAAACUAGAAAUAAUUAUUAAAUAUUUUUAAUAUUAUAAAUUAACAGGCAAGAUGGUGAAAAAACUAACAUCUGGUUCUUAAAAGUAAGUUGAAAUAUAAGAUCAGAUUUGAAUGCACGUGGAAAAAUAGAAAUGGCAAAUAAUGCCAUAUUUGAAGAUCUUUCAGCAUUCUCUGGUAUUUUUCCUUUCAUUUCAAAAUUGUUAUAUUCUUUUUAAUGACUUCAAAUGAAUUAGGAAAUGUCAGGCUUCUAAAAAUCAAACAGAACGUCAAACCAGUAGAUUUCAUUCAGGGCAGUGGGAGCCUGUUCGGUUGUUUCCUCUUUCUCCCUCACUUUUAAAAAUCCUCAAUCACUGCCAUUUCUCUUCUCAGCUUUCACAACACUUUAUAGGCAGCUGAAUGAAAGGGCAGAAGCUUCCUCUGAAACUCCUGUUAUUUCAGCUCUAAAAUCAGCUGAAAAGGAUGCCCUCCCCAGAGACAGAAAUGCAUUCCCUCCAUCAUGAACCUGCAUGCCCUCAGGUUGUGGCAAGGGAAAAGUUUAGCACUUGAACCUAGAUAAUGCUAUUUUUUUAAUCAAAGUGCACCAUUCUUGUUUCAUAUGGCCUGUGGCACAAUUUAUUUAAAACAAUAUGGUGCAUCAAAGAAGGUAAACAAUAACAAUAAUAAUAAUAAUAAUGUAGGAAUAGCAAUGUGCACAUAAAUAAUAUAGGAAAACACAUGGCCUCAGUACCUUCAUGAAAUGGGACUUCAAUAUACAUAUUUCUUACACAGCUUUAUGCAUGACUUCAUUUCUAUGGUUUGCACUUCACUGCUCUGUUGUGUCACUCCACCAAUAAACCUAUACAUCAUACUGAGUGAAAUAUGUUCACAGUCCCUUUACUUGAC